This 182-nucleotide ribosomal RNA is filed under the name uncultured bacterium. RNAcentral's name for it is "partial small subunit ribosomal RNA". It matches the Rfam family "Bacterial small subunit ribosomal RNA", at positions 26 to 214 of the family's 1533-position model. The record is from RNAcentral.
AGCCUGAACGCUGGCGGCGUGGCUAAGACAUGCAAGUCGCACGGGCCUAGCAAUAGGUCAGUGGCGAACGGGUGAGUAAAGAAUCGCUAACGUACCCCGGACUCUGGGAUAGCCAGUCGAAAGAUUGGGUAAUACCAGAUGACAUAUUCUUCCUGCAUGGGAGGAAUCUCAAAGGUCCGCGG